Molecule: ribosomal RNA, 1295 nt
Filed under: Salmonella enterica
Lineage: Bacteria; Pseudomonadati; Pseudomonadota; Gammaproteobacteria; Enterobacterales; Enterobacteriaceae
Also listed under: 2 other names
Description: partial 23S ribosomal RNA
Rfam family: Bacterial large subunit ribosomal RNA
Source: RNAcentral
UGUUCCAGGUAAAUCCGGUUCACUUUAACACUGAGGCGUGACGACGAGGCACUACGGUGCUGAAGCAACAAAUGCCCUGCUUCCAGGAAAAGCCUCUAAGCAUCAGGUAACAUCAAAUCGUACCCCAAACCGACACAGGUGGUCAGGUAGAGAAUACCAAGGCGCUUGAGAGAACUCGGGUGAAGGAACUAGGCAAAAUGGUGCCGUAACUUCGGGAGAAGGCACGCUGACACGUAGGUGAAGUGAUUUACUCAUGGAGCUGAAGUCAGUCGAAGAUACCAGCUGGCUGCAACUGUUUAUUAAAAACACAGCACUGUGCAAACACGAAAGUGGACGUAUACGGUGUGACGCCUGCCCGGUGCCGGAAGGUUAAUUGAUGGGGUCAGCGCAAGCGAAGCUCCUGAUCGAAGCCCCGGUAAACGGCGGCCGUAACUAUAACGGUCCUAAGGUAGCGAAAUUCCUUGUCGGGUAAGUUCCGACCUGCACGAAUGGCGUAAUGAUGGCCAGGCUGUCUCCACCCGAGACUCAGUGAAAUUGAACUCGCUGUGAAGAUGCAGUGUACCCGCGGCAAGACGGAAAGACCCCGUGAACCUUUACUAUAGCUUGACACUGAACAUUGAGCCUUGAUGUGUAGGAUAGGUGGGAGGCUUUGAAGUGUGGACGCCAGUCUGCAUGGAGCCGACCUUGAAAUACCACCCUUUAAUGUUUGAUGUUCUAACGUGGACCCGUAAUCCGGGUUGCGGACAGUGUCUGGUGGGUAGUUUGACUGGGGCGGUCUCCUCCUAAAGAGUAACGGAGGAGCACGAAGGUUGGCUAAUCCUGGUCGGACAUCAGGAGGUUAGUGCAAUGGCAUAAGCCAGCUUGACUGCGAGCGUGACGGCGCGAGCAGGUGCGAAAGCAGGUCAUAGUGAUCCGGUGGUUCUGAAUGGAAGGGCCAUCGCUCAACGGAUAAAAGGUACUCCGGGGAUAACAGGCUGAUACCGCCCAAGAGUUCAUAUCGACGGCGGUGUUUGGCACCUCGAUGUCGGCUCAUCACAUCCUGGGGCUGAAGUAGGUCCCAAGGGUAUGGCUGUUCGCCAUUUAAAGUGGUACGCGAGCUGGGUUUAGAACGUCGUGAGACAGUUCGGUCCCUAUCUGCCGUGGGCGCUGGAGAACUGAGGGGGGCUGCUCCUAGUACGAGAGGACCGGAGUGGACGCAUCACUGGUGUUCGGGUUGUCAUGCCAAUGGCACUGCCCGGUAGCUAAAUGCGGAAGAGAUAAGUGCUGAAAGCAUCUAAGCACGAAACUUGCCCCGA